UACGGGGGGGGCAAGCGUUGUUCGGAAUUACUGGGCGUAAAGGGCUCGUAGGCGGCCAACUAAGUCGGAUGUGAAAUCCCCAGGCUUAACUUGGGAACUGCAUCCGAUACUGGAUGGCUUGAAUCCGGGAGAGGGAUGCGGAAUUCCAGGUGUAGCGGUGAAAUGCGUAGAUAUCUGGAGGAACACCGGUGGCGAAGGCGGCAUCCUGGACCGGCAUUGACGCUGAACAGCGAAAGCCAGGGGAGCAAACGGG
This 253-nucleotide ribosomal RNA is filed under the name uncultured bacterium. Its description in RNAcentral is "partial 16S ribosomal RNA". It matches the Rfam family "Bacterial small subunit ribosomal RNA", at positions 524 to 776 of the family's 1533-position model. The record is from RNAcentral.